UUGUUAGAGUAGCUACCAUAGUUAUUUUAAUACGGACAAGUACAAAACCUAAAAAUAAUACUGUACUUGAAGGACGGUGCCAAGUUUUUGAAAGCUCCGUAACUUUAGCUUGAUAGUACGUUACCGAGGGUGAAUCUGGUAACGACAGUAGACUCCAAGUUUGAGCCCAAUCCUCCGGAAACAGUUCGCUAUAGACAUUUUUGUUGUGUUAAAACCACAAAAGUUCACAGAUUGUUGUUUACCUUAAAUACAGGAUACAUUUAAGUGGAUAGCUACGUGUCGCUACACCAACUUUGGUCCAUGGACAUGAGGAAAACUUUUCUACUGACAGCUAAAGGAAUCUAAUGAUGUGCGCAUGCGCUGUGAACAUUUUUUAACACGGCAAUCCCCCCCUCGUGCAGAAGAGGGGAGAGCAACAUUGCCAAUUGAAAGAGUACUGAUCUAUAUCAGACGCUAAGCAAGUAUUCACUCCUCUAGCCUACCGCUAUUUAAAAUCCCACGCAUCCAGGCAGGGUGUAGGUGAUCACUUGCAACUGGAACCAGAGAGUCUUUUAUCAACUCUGCAAUGUCUAUAUGUGGGCUGCUGUUGGGUCCAGUCCUGUUAGAGCACAGUGCGCUCUGAAGACUUUUGCCUGCUUGGUUCAGGGAUGGAAGGAUGCUGGCAGCCUUCGAGGUCCCAUCUUCUCCAUGAGAGCAUAGAAGAACUUCGUUGACCUCCCCUUCAAUCUUUCGAGAAAGGAUGGCUGUUGACUUUCUGCAGGAUCGAGGUUUCUACAAAAGCAGCAGGAGGACAGCUCAUACCCACAGUACUAUCCUUAUUGUCUACAUCGAACAUGAUGGCAUCAAACAAACGACCACCUACAAAGGAAGAAAAAACCUAGUCAUUCUUGGGCACAGAUGCGUUCGAGGCCGUCCCCGAGAGUGACAGUCAAACGAUCAUCCGGUCGGAACCCAAACCAUUCAUUUGCUACUUGCAUCACAACAGGGUCUAGUUCUACAACCUCAACAGUAACAUUGGGCACAAAGUCCCUUAAAAACUGAGGCAGGCCUCCUCCACCGAGCCCCACCAGGAGCACCGACACUGGGACAUCUAAAGGAGAAGAUAGUGGGGAGUCAAAGUUAAAGCUCAAUCAAGUGUGAUAUUUCAUGCAAAGAGCUGGAAGGCUGUUGCUGUAUAGUUAGUACUUCCUCCUGCUAUAGCCCUCUACAACCUUAACCUGACUAUACAAUCUGAACUGACCUUUGUUUUGCGGCGUUCCCACCCCAAGCAUGGUGAGGCCAGCCACCAUAACUUCAUGGUGAGCGCAGCAGAGGAAGCCACUGUCCACUGACAGAGAGCUGGAGGAUGUUGUUGGAGCAGUUGUUGGCUUGGCCUUCUUUUUGUUUUUCUUCUUGUGAACUGAUGCUGCAGAGAAAUAAAUAUUCAUUCAUAUAAUCAAUGUACAUCUAUUUUAUAGCAACGUAUUAA
Long non-coding RNA from Eleginops maclovinus (Patagonian blennie), 1468 nucleotides. RefSeq lists it as uncharacterized. NCBI's taxonomy places the organism in Eukaryota, Metazoa, Chordata, Actinopteri, Perciformes, Eleginopidae. The transcript has 4 exons. The record is from RefSeq and is a predicted model, not a curated record.